AGAGGAGCCGGUUCCUUCCCCACCAUUCCCGUACCUUUGUUUCCUCUUCCCCUAGCUAGUCCCGAGUCCUGACCUACCAAUCUCGACCUACAUCCCUACUCUUCCACCGCGUGGGCGCGUGGCCUACAAGCCGCCGCCGUGGCCAUAGCUCACGGCCGCCGGCUGACGCCCCCCUCAAACCCCUCGGCCUUCGCCGGCUUCGCCGUUCCUGUUCAUGCUCAUCGCGUCCCUGCUGUCCCGGCCCCGUCCGCAACCUUUGGCCAUCGGAUUUUGAGGUAGUGUACUGAUGAAGACAGAGAUUGAGGAGGAAGGCACCAGAGGGUCCUGGACUGAGGAGGACAAAUCCCUUUGUGCUUCUGUGCUGGGCUUAGAUGCCUUCACAUAUCUGACAAAAGGUGGAGGUGCCAUAUCUGAAAAUCUCGUAGCAGCGUCUGGGUUGGUGGGCUUGCAAAAUAAACUCCAGGACCUGGUUGAAGCUGAUGGUAAAAGCCUUUGUUGGAACUACGCCAUCUUCUGGCAACUCUCCCACACCAAAUCUGGUGAACUUGUCCUUGGUUGGGGUGACGGAUCUUGCCGUGAACCCCAUGAUAAUGAGAUGAACUCGACUACUCGUGGUGAUAUUCAUGAUGCAUCUUCACUGAGCCAACAAAGGAUGCGUAAGCGAGUGUUAGAGCGACUGCAUACAGCAUUUGCUGGGGCUGAGGAGGAGGAUGAUGCUCUCAGAAUUGACCAGGUGACUGACACUGAGUUAUUCUUCCUAGCAUCCAUGUAUUUUGCAUUUCCACGUCAUGUAGGUGGCCCUGGGCAAGUGUUUGCAACAGGUGCACCCCUUUGGAUUCCUAACAAUCCGCACAAGGUUUCCCCCUCAAAUUAUUGCUAUCGUGGAUUCCUUGCAAGUGCAGCAGGAUUUAGGACUAUUGUUCUACUGCCAUUUGAAGCUGGUGUACUUGAGUUAGGCUCAAUGCAGAAUGUGCUUGAGAGUGCUGAAGCUCUGGAAACCAUAAGGUCUGUGUUUCUAGGGGCAAGCAGUAAGAAGGCAGCAUCUGGGAAGCAUGAUGAGAAUGGUUCUGCUCAAAUAUCACCCGGUUUGGCUAAGAUUUUUGGGAAGGAUUUGAAUCUGAGCCGACCUUUAGUCAACACGGGAGCACUUCCAUUAAAAAUGAAUGAAAGGUCAUGGGAUAUGCAGAAGAAUUGUGGUGGUGAGAGCCUGUUGCUCCCCAAUGUCCGGAAAGGUUUGCAGAACUUCACAUGGAGUCAGGCUCGAGGCCUGAAUUCUCAUCACCAGAAAUUUGGCAAUGGUAUUCUAGUUGUGAAAAGUGAGACUUCACAACGUAGCAAUGGAGCUGCGCAUAGCCCUGGAUUGAGCCCAUUUCAGCUCCAGAAUUCACAGCAGAUACUGACACAACCACCACCUCAGUCACAGACACCGAGGCAUAUAGAUUUUAGCGUAGGGUCUAGUUCAAAAUCUGGUGUUUUGACUUCACAAGCAGCUCUGUUGGGUGGGGAAAAUGGCAGUGUCGAUGGUUUGUGUAAGGAGCAAGUGGCCCCUACAAUGGAGGGCCAGCAACCAAGAAAGAGGGGAAGAAAACCAGCAAACGGGAGGGUAGAGGCACUUAACCAUGUUGAGGCUGAGCGCCAAAGGAGGGAAAAACUCAACCAGAGGUUCUAUGCACUGAGAGCUGUUGUUCCCAAUAUCUCAAAAAUGGACAAAGCAUCGCUCCUGGGAGAUGCCAUAACGCACAUCACUGAUCUCCAGAAGAAGCUCAAAGAGAUGGAGUCGGAAAGAGACAUGUUCUUGGAGUCUGGUAUGGUAGACCGCAGGGUCCAAACACCUAGGCCAGAAGUAGAUAUCCAGGUGGUGCAAGAUGAGGUUCUUGUUCGUGUAAUGUCACCUAUGGACAACUAUCCGAUAAAUAAUGUGUUCCAAGCUUUUGAAGAGGCAGAAGUCAAAGUUGGUGAAUCAAAGAUCGCAUCCAACAAUGGGAAAGUUAUGCAUUCCUUUGUUAUCAAGUCCCCUGGCUCUGAACAGCAAACAAGAGAGAAAUUGAUUGCUGCUAUGUCUCGUGCAAUGAACUCCAUGUAGAAUUAUAACUUGAUGCAUUAGAGGGCAGAUCGUUUUUCUAGUUGCGAACAGGUAGCAGUGGUAGACUCCCAGUGUCCAUGUAAUUGCUACAUGACCACAGAAAGCUCAGGUUCUGACUUCGCAAAAUAAUCUGUAUGUGCAAAUUACUGCCGUAAAUCUUUAACAGUCUGUCCUGUGGUCAGUUACUCAGUUCAGUUUUGAUGUUUCUUAGAUGGAGAUUAUAGUUACAAUGUAUUUUAGCUAUUUAUUAUGAAUCAAUAUAAACGAUGCUUAGCUCCAUGGAGGAAGAGGGAAAAAAACAUCAAUUUAGUUUGAGAGAUUCCAGCCCAGUAUGCUGAAGGUGAUCGGAGUGGUGCAUUUUCCCAAGCAAAGCUACACAAUUGUGCAUUUUCCUUGUCUUGUUAAACCACCAGGUAUGGAGCUUAUGUUCAUGCUUUCUUCCACCGAGGCUUCAGUAACACUACUAUUGUACGCAUUUCGCUUGGUGGGCAGAACUGAAUAUGUGGAUUGAUCAGGUGCUAGAGGUGAGGUCUCAUCACUUUGUUUGUUCUAUUUCGCUUAAAGAACCGUGAAUAGAUAUGUGGAUUAUCAGCAACCAAGCAUCUCAUUCUUCAGGACUGGUGAAAAGUAUUUAUGCAUGGUUUGCUUUAUUUCUAUUAGUAUUAGUGUAUUAGAAGCCAGUAUGCCUAUAACUUACACUCACAUAUUGGAUCGGCAUCUAUCAUCAUAGUCGAUCCUGUAUCCCCACAUUAGAUGAAACCAACUCAACACAAGAUACGAAUUAGGUUUUGUAUAUGGUGAACUCCGAUAUGCCUUUCGAGACCAAGAUCAAGCAAUCAGAUCCUUCCCUUUAAUUACCAGUGUACGUACAUGGUGCUGUCGUGCUCUGUUCUUAGAUUACAAGCAACUUAGUUUGUAUUUUAACCUUCAUUUCAUGUCACCAUAUAUCUAUAUGUGCAUCAAUUCCUAUUAUUUUAUUAAAAAAAUGAGGGGUGGCAGCAGCCCAAUG
This 3092-nucleotide ribosomal RNA is filed under the name Triticum aestivum (bread wheat). RNAcentral's name for it is "partial small subunit ribosomal RNA". Lineage: Eukaryota; Viridiplantae; Streptophyta; Magnoliopsida; Poales; Poaceae. The record is from RNAcentral.